This 255-nucleotide non-coding RNA is filed under the name Streptomyces venezuelae ATCC 10712. RNAcentral describes it as "Streptomyces sRNA 4677". It matches the Rfam family "Streptomyces sRNA 4677". From Rfam's summary of the family: Located in the intergenic region between anti-sigma factor SCO4677 gene and a putative regulatory protein gene SCO4676. scr4677 expression requires the SCO4677 activity and scr4677 sRNA itself seem to affect the levels of the SCO4676-associated transcripts. The record is from Rfam by way of RNAcentral. Lineage: Bacteria; Bacillati; Actinomycetota; Actinomycetes; Kitasatosporales; Streptomycetaceae.
GUCGCCGGUGGGGCGGGCGGUCUCCUCAAGGACGACCACGGGGAGAAAGAAACCGAACCGAACCCCACCCCUCCGCCCCGCCGAGGCCACGCUCACUCGCUUGAGUGAAUAUGCCCAAAUCGGCUGGCCAUAGGGAGGGUUGCUUGAUCUACGCUCAGCGCGACACACCACAUCACUGCCGACAUACGUCGGCCCCCGCCGGGACGGCAAUCCCGAUGCGAGGGCCUGACCACCAAGGAAGAGAACAGCUUCCCG